RNAcentral lists this ribosomal RNA (1000 nucleotides) under Enterococcus faecium. RNAcentral describes it as "partial 16S ribosomal RNA". It matches the Rfam family "Bacterial small subunit ribosomal RNA", at positions 509 to 1476 of the family's 1533-position model. The record is from RNAcentral. Lineage: Bacteria; Bacillati; Bacillota; Bacilli; Lactobacillales; Enterococcaceae.
AAGCAGUCUGCGGUUAUUACUGUAGAUGGACACGGUUGUUCCCGACUUUAUUGGGGCGUAACCCGAUGCGCUGCUGUUUUUUUAAGUCUGAGUGUGAGAGCUCCCCGGCUCAGCCGGGGGAGGGUUCAUUGGAAACCUGCGAAGACUUGGAGUGCAGCAGAGGCAGAGUGGAACUUCCCAUGUGUAGCGGGUGAAGUGCGUAACAGAUGUUGGAGGAACACCUGUUGUCGAACGCGGGUUCUUAUGCGUCAGGUAUCUGACGCUGAGGCUGAGAGAGCGUGGGGGACAAAACAGGUUUUAGAUACCCUUGGUAGCACACGCCCGUAUACACUGAGGAAUUAAGUGUUGGAGGGUUUCCCCCAUUUAGUCCGGUAGCUAAUGCCUUUAGCACUCCGCCCGGGGAGUUUGCCCGCAAGGUUGAAACUCAAAGGAAUUGACGGGGGCCCCCCCAAGCGGUGGAGCAUGUGGUUUAAUUCGAAGCAACGCGAAGAACCUUACCAGUUCUUGACAUCCUUUGACCACUUUAGAGAUAGAGCUUCCCCUUCGGGGGCAAAGUGACAGGUUGUUCUUGGUCGUCGUCAGUUUGUGUUCUGAGAUCUUGGGUUAAGCCCCCCAAGUAGCGCAACCCUUAUUUUUUGUUGCCAUCAUUCAGUUGGGCACUUUAGCAAGAUUGCCGGUGACAAACCGGAGGAAGGUGGGGAUGACGUCACAUCAUCAUGCCCCUUAUGACCUGGGUUACCCACGUGAUCCAAUGGGAAGUAAAACGAGUUGUGAAGUCGGGGGGCUAAGCUAAUCUCUUAAAGCUUCUCUCAGUUCGGAUUGCAGGCUGCAACUCGCCUGCAGGAAGCCGGAAUCCCUAGUAAUCGCGGAUCAGCCCCCCGCGGUGAAUCCGUUCCCGGGCCUGGUACACACCCCCCGUCCCACCACGAGAGUUUGUAACACCCGAUGUCGGUUGAGGUAACCUCGUGGAGCCAGCGCUCUAUAGCUGGUACCCUCCCCU